CACAGCCGCCAUCUUUGUGUCUUCAUAAUUAAAAAGGGUGACCAGCUACGCCCUCUGCUGGACUGCGGCCCAACUACAGCUCUUAAACAGUGAAACAGCGCCGACCUGUGCUGGGAGGCGCUGAAGUGAACGUGUGAAACGUCAGAGAAGAAAGAGACGGACGCCAAACUGUCAACAGCGCAAGACAGAAGAGCUGAGUUGCGAUGCAGUUUUGUCUCCUGAGGAUCCAUUGCUGCUGAACGUAGACGAAACGCUGAACACCGUGUCCCCGGGGAGACCCUGCAACGAGCAGCAACAAAAUGGUUUCCGAUUUUAUUAUGUGGAUUUCGGACUUGGAGAGCCAAAGUGUGAGCAGUGCAGCAUCCGCAGUCGGCUGUGAGUUAUUUAUAGUGGAGUGGGCGCCGUCGAACAUUUCCUGCCAAGAUGGGGCUCCUCUCACCCACAUGAUGGAGGCCCAGAGCAGUCGGCCCCCCACCGUCCUCAAAUCUAAGAAAACUGUUUUGUUUUUUGCUAUUAUUUUAAAAAUAUUAAUAACAAGUUACUAAAUAUCAAU
Long non-coding RNA from Poeciliopsis prolifica (blackstripe livebearer), 553 nucleotides. RefSeq lists it as uncharacterized. The record is from RefSeq and is a predicted model, not a curated record. Lineage: Eukaryota; Metazoa; Chordata; Actinopteri; Cyprinodontiformes; Poeciliidae. The transcript has 4 exons.